This 1049-nucleotide ribosomal RNA is filed under the name uncultured organism. RNAcentral describes it as "bacterial SSU rRNA". It matches the Rfam family "Bacterial small subunit ribosomal RNA", at positions 408 to 1476 of the family's 1533-position model. The record is from RNAcentral.
AUGAAGCCCUUCGGGGUGUAAAGUUCUGUCAGUAGGGACAAUAAUGAUGGUACCUACAGAGGAAGCACCGGCUAACUAUGUGCCAGCAGCCGCGGUAAUACAUAGGGUGCAAGCGUUGUCCGGAAUUAUUGGGCGUAAAGAGUUCGUAGGUGGUAACUUAAGUCAAAAUUAAAAGACUGGGGCUUAACCCUGGUUCGGUUUUGAUACUGGGUUACUUGAGAUCGGGAGAGGUAAAGUGGAACUCACAGUGUAGCGGUGAAAUGCGUAGAUAUUGUGAGGAACACCAGUGGCGAAGGCGGCUUACUGGACCGAAUCUGACGCUGAGGAACGAAAGCGUGGGUAGCAAACAGGAUUAGAUACCCUGGUAGUCCACGCUGUAAACGAUGUACAUUAGGUGUUGAGGGUAUCGACCCCUUCAGUGCCGAAGCUAACGCGUUAAAUGUACCGCCUGGGGAGUACGGUCGCAAGACUAAAACUCAAAGGAAUUGACGGGGGCCCGCACAAGCAGUGGAUCAUGUGGUUUAAUUCGACGAUACGCGAAGAACCUCACCAGAACUUGACAUCCAGAGAAGGCCAUAGAAGUAUGGCUGUGCCUUCGGGAACUCUGUGACAGGUGGUGCAUGGUUGUCGUCAGCUCGUGCCGUGAGGUGUUGGGUUAAGUCCCGCAACGAGCGCAACCCUUGUCCUGUGUUGCUACAUUAAGUUGAGAACUCUCAGGAAACUGCCCGUGGAAAACGGGAGGAAGGUGAGGAUGACGUCAAAUCAUCAUGCCCCUUACGUUCUGGGCUACACACAUGAUACAAUGGUCGGUACAAAGGGCAGCAAAGCCGCGAGGUGGAGCUAAUCUCAUAAAACCGGCCCCAGUUCGGAUUGCAGUCUGCAACUCGACUGCAUGAAGUUGGAAUUGCUAGUAAACGCAGAUCAGCACGCUGCGUUGAAUACGUUCCCGGGCCUUGUACACACCGCCCGUCACACCAUGAGAGUCGGAAGUACCCGAAGCCGGUGAGCCAACCGCAAGGAGGCAGCCGUCUAAGGUAGAGCUGAUGAUU